CUGCAAUCUAGACCUCUCUA
This 20-nucleotide small nuclear RNA is filed under the name Arabidopsis thaliana (thale cress). RNAcentral describes it as "snRNA_06057". The record is from RNAcentral. Lineage: Eukaryota; Viridiplantae; Streptophyta; Magnoliopsida; Brassicales; Brassicaceae.